AGGACGAACGCUGGCGGCGUGCUUAACACAUGCAAGUCAAGGGGGCCCAGCAAUGGGCAACCGGCGAACGGGUGCGUAACACGUGAGCAACCCACCGAAAUGUGGGGGAUAGCCGGCCUAACGGCCGAGUAAUACCGCAUACGCUCUCGAUGAGGCAUUUCAUUGAGAGGAAACCUACGGGACAUUUCGAGGGGCUCGCGGCCUAUCAGCUAGUUGGCGAGGUAACGGCUCACCAAGGCAACGACGGGUAGC
Molecule: ribosomal RNA, 252 nt
Filed under: uncultured soil bacterium
Lineage: Bacteria
Description: partial 16S ribosomal RNA
Rfam family: Bacterial small subunit ribosomal RNA
Source: RNAcentral